GGUGACAUGGCCGAGCGGUCUAAGGCGCCAGAAUCAGGUGCAUCCGCGGAUAUCACUUUAUCUGGUCUUUCGGGGCGGGAGUUCGAAUCUCCCUGUCAUCA
This is a non-coding RNA of Tricholoma furcatifolium, 101 nucleotides long. NCBI's taxonomy places the organism in Eukaryota, Fungi, Basidiomycota, Agaricomycetes, Agaricales, Tricholomataceae. The record is from the annotation of a GenBank genome assembly.